This 350-nucleotide ribosomal RNA is filed under the name uncultured bacterium. RNAcentral's name for it is "partial 16S ribosomal RNA". It matches the Rfam family "Bacterial small subunit ribosomal RNA", at positions 338 to 685 of the family's 1533-position model. The record is from RNAcentral.
CCUACGGGUGGCAGCAGUGAGGAAUAUUGGUCAAUGGACGCAAGUCUGAACCAGCCAUGCCGCGUGCAGGAAGACGGCUCUAUGAGUUGUAAACUUCUUUUAUACGAGGGUAAACGCAGAUACGCGUAUCUGUCUGAAAGUAUCUUACGAAUAAGGAUCGGCUAACUCCGUGCCAGCAGCCGCGGUAAUACGGAGGAUCCAAGCGUUAUCCGGAUUUAUUGGGUUUAAAGGGUGCGUAGGCGGUCGGUUAAGUUAGAGGUGAAAUCCCGAGGCUAAACUUCGGAAUUGCCUCUGAUACGGUUGGGCUAGAGAGUAGUGGGGGUAGGCGGAAUGGAUGGUGUAGCGGGGAA